CACCGCCCGUCACACCAUGGGAGUGGGUUGUACCAGAAGUAGAUAGCUUAACCUUUUGGAGGGCGUUUACCACGGUAUGAUUCAUGACUGGGGUGAAGUCGUAACAAGGUAACCGUAGGGGAACCUGCGGUUGGAUCACCUCCUUACCAAAGA
RNAcentral lists this ribosomal RNA (153 nucleotides) under Haemophilus influenzae. RNAcentral's name for it is "partial 16S ribosomal RNA". It matches the Rfam family "Bacterial small subunit ribosomal RNA", at positions 1388 to 1533 of the family's 1533-position model. Lineage: Bacteria; Pseudomonadati; Pseudomonadota; Gammaproteobacteria; Pasteurellales; Pasteurellaceae. The record is from RNAcentral.